AAAAUUUGGGAGGAAGAAAGAUGCAUAUAUUAUUUAGCCGAAACAUGAUAUGAUACAUUUAUGAUUGAUGUAUGAUUUCCAUUCUCUGGGAAAAAAGUCUCUUUUUUGCCAUACUUACUGCCCCUGUUGUCCUUCAGUGAUACAAUAAAGACUGCUUCUUCCACCAUUCUCUGGGAAAAACCCUGUUUUGCUAUGCUUACUACCCCUGUUGUCCUUCAGCAACACAAUGAAGACUGCUUCUUCCUCCAUUCUCUGGAAAAAAGUCCCUUUUUUGCCAUACUUACUGCCCCUGUUUGUCCUUCAGCGACACAAUAAAGUAUAUAUAAUGUAAUGCUUUAGAAUCCAUAUGCUGAUGUGCGAGAUGAAGUUGGAAUCCAUGGCGGCAACAGAGAAACUGUUUCCUUCCUUAAUGGAAGAAACUGCUAAAGAACAAUGGCAAAAAAACAGAAUUUACAAAAUUUGUAUUAACUUUUUGGGCCAGAUUCAAAAGAGUGGUUAAAUUUAUAAAAGUAUUUAGUAUCCUCACUGUAGUUUUAGGAUCCAGUAUACUUAAAAUGUAGUGUUUUGUAUAAGAUUUUUAGUUUUUAGUAUAAGCAUUUAUUUUUGUUAAUUUUUAUCUAAUCUCUCCUAAUAUGCAUAAUAACUAAAUACGAGGCAAACAAAUUAAUAAAUACGUUAGGGAUGUAAGGUGUAUUUUUUUUUAUAAGUAAAACUUGUGUCUUUUAAAGGCAUAAAGUAUAGAC
Molecule: long non-coding RNA, 743 nt
Organism: Anthonomus grandis grandis
Lineage: Eukaryota; Metazoa; Arthropoda; Insecta; Coleoptera; Curculionidae
Exons: 4
Source: RefSeq, a predicted model, not a curated record